Long non-coding RNA from Aethalodelphis obliquidens (Pacific white-sided dolphin), 179 nucleotides. RefSeq lists it as uncharacterized. The transcript is spliced from 3 exons. The record is from RefSeq and is a predicted model, not a curated record. Lineage: Eukaryota; Metazoa; Chordata; Mammalia; Artiodactyla; Delphinidae.
GAAGUGUGCUCUUCAGAGCCCGCCUAAAUUGGUGUCUACAGAUUGAAUUUCCAGAGGCUUAGGAGGAGGAGUUCUCCAAUGUCCUGUUUCCAGGCCUUGCUCAGGAAGCCCUGUAUUCAUUCAGGAGACCAUCUGUUAAGGUUUUCAGAUGAGCUUAUGAGGGGGCAAUCUUUAAAAGU